AAGGAUUUAGGUUAAUUGAAACUCGGGGCCUUCAAAGCUCCACAUAAAGCUUACACUUUAAGCCUUA
Molecule: transfer RNA, 67 nt
Filed under: Holotrichia oblita
Lineage: Eukaryota; Metazoa; Arthropoda; Insecta; Coleoptera; Scarabaeidae
Description: tRNA-Trp
Source: RNAcentral